GUGAGGUCUGAUGAACCUGAUGUAAGGCAUCUACACACUAACUGCAACUGAAGAACUAAAAUUAGCUGUAAAAGGAAGGGAGAGGAGAAGUUGGUGAAAGAAUCUAGCAGGUACUCCUUGAAUUUUUAAAAUUGAGUUUCCUAAAACAUUCAGGAAAAAGGAAAUGCAUGGAGCUGAAAUCUAACUACAGGUGUUUGCUUUACUUCUCCAGAUCUGUGCAAAUCACAACUUCAAGUUCUACAGGCUUCAAUGCAAGAGACAAGCUGCGUCAGGAAGAAAACCUGGGUCGGUUCCAUUCCACAGCAUGACUUUGGAUUGCUUUAAGUGAUGUCUAUGCAUACUGCUAGAGGCUCUCAAGAAUCCAAGCUCUGUCCUGCUCCCUGGCAAUCAGAAGUGUUCCUGGCCUUGGUUCCCAGUGACGAGUUUUCAGUUACGACUUUAGAUUAAAUGUGUGAUCCUUCUGCAGUAACUACAUACCUGAAAAUGUUAUCGAGACUAUAAAAUGAAAUAUUAGAGCAACAGAAAAAAAGAGAGAUGUAUUUUAUUUCAAUGAAUCUUUUAAUUGGGUAUUUGUCUAGAUAUGUGAUUUAUCAGGGAAACUAGAAUUUUUCAAGUAUUAAGUGUUAUUUCCCAUUUUAUUCUUUGGGCAGGGGAAUGAACUGAAUUUGGCAAACUCUACCUUGUUGCUAAAUCUCUUGCUUCUGCUUCCUGAAGUACUAUUCAGUUCUCAUCUUCCCUUUCAAAAAUACAUCUGAUGCUCACUUUAACCAUUAUUCUGCUCCCUGCUGCCAUCUGAGAUGGCAAAACAUAUUUUCUUGUUAAUCUUCAUGUAUGCCCUCUCAAAAGUGAGGGCAUGUGAUGCCUGCGAAACCUUUCUAGAUUUAUAAUGAGUAUUUCUGGGUCUUCCACUGCUCCAACUCCCUGCAUUCUGAAUUUCCAAAACUGUGUUGGCAUUCGUACUGUAACAAAGACUUUGAAGGCUAUUAUAUGCAGGCAAGUUUUUUCAAAACAACAGGUUAAUUUCAAGGCUCAGCCUGAGACAUCUUAAAAGAUCCUAUUUUCAAAGCAGACUUCUUGUGUGUCCGGUGAAAAUUCAUGCAUUUUCACCUAAACAUCUUAGAAUUACCAGCUGGUUUUUAAAUUGCUUACAUUAAAUUGUCUACAAAAAAGUAGGUCUUACAUUUGUAAGAUCUACAAAUUAUGAGCUCCCAGUUUCAGGAAUGGGUUGUAUACGUAGCAUAAAGUAACCAGAGAAUGAUUUUUCAGUGUAAUAAACUAUGUGGAAGGUGAAAGAGAAUGGAGGAUUAUGGAUUUUUUUUUUUUUAAAGAAACAGAGAUGAAGAGGCAUAAAACUGUGUACCUAGCUGAAGGAGGAAAAGGUUGGCAUGGGACCUUUGUGAGGGCAUUCAUUUUGCAUGUUUAUACUGCUGUUGAGAGAAAUGAGACUUUGAGUAUGUGUCUGUAAAUAAAUGAAUUACUCUGAGAAUAA
Long non-coding RNA from Gymnogyps californianus (California condor), 1489 nucleotides. RefSeq lists it as uncharacterized. The transcript has 5 exons. Lineage: Eukaryota; Metazoa; Chordata; Aves; Accipitriformes; Cathartidae. The record is from RefSeq and is a predicted model, not a curated record.